Long non-coding RNA from Folsomia candida, 395 nucleotides. RefSeq lists it as uncharacterized. The record is from RefSeq and is a predicted model, not a curated record. Lineage: Eukaryota; Metazoa; Arthropoda; Collembola; Entomobryomorpha; Isotomidae. The transcript is spliced from 3 exons.
ACAGGCAGAGAGUUAUCCACGCAGAGGCAGCUUAAUGGCCGUACAUAAAGGAAAAAAGUGGUAGAAAUAAGUUUAAGACUGGGUUUGAUGUUUUCUAAAUUUAUGAGACAAAGUCUUUCAUUUCAUUGACUAUUGGAAGUACAGUGCACCCAUCGCUACGUAAAUCCCAUUCUUAUCAGGGUUCCGAUGAGAGGUUUUCUAAUGGAAAUUUCCUGGUUUUUGGAUGAUCUAAAUUCUGUGACAUACAGCACUGCAUGAGGAAUAUCUAUCCCAAAAAUAUUAGGAUUUGAAUGCAAAUUCCUCUCCUUUUGUAUGACGAUUCCCUGAUUUUUGGGUGUGAUUUGAUUCACAAUUUGACUUAAUGUUAACGAAUCAAUAAAUACAAACUCUCAAAA